GACGAACGCUGGCGGCGUGCUGAACCCAUGCAAGUCGAACGGAGUGGCGAACGGUCGAGUAACAUGUGGGUGAUCUGCCUUGCACUUCGGCAUCAGCAUGGGACACUGUGUCUAAUAACGGAUAGUCAAGGAUGAGCUUGCUGCCUAUCAGCUUGUUGGUUGGGUAAUGGCCUACCAAGGCGUCGACGGGUAGCCGGCCUGAGAGGGGUUACGGCCACAGUGGGACUGAUAUACGUGCGAGAACCCUACGGGAGGCAGCAGUGGGGAAUAGUGUACAAUGAGCGGAAGCCAGAUGCAGCGACGCCGCGUGGGGGAUGAAGGCCUUCGGGUUGUAAACUCCGUUCGACAGGGACGCGGUACCUGUAUAGGAACCUCCGGCAAACUACGUGCCAGGAGCCGCGGUAAUAC
RNAcentral lists this ribosomal RNA (408 nucleotides) under uncultured bacterium. RNAcentral describes it as "partial 16S ribosomal RNA". It matches the Rfam family "Bacterial small subunit ribosomal RNA", at positions 28 to 526 of the family's 1533-position model. The record is from RNAcentral.